Molecule: ribosomal RNA, 320 nt
Filed under: uncultured eukaryote
Lineage: Eukaryota
Description: partial 18S ribosomal RNA
Rfam family: Eukaryotic small subunit ribosomal RNA
Source: RNAcentral
CCCCUAGAUGUUCUGGGCCGCACGCGCGCUACACUGAACAGUUCAACAAGUCUUAACCUUGGCCGAUAGGUCUGGGUAAUCUUUGAACGCUGUUCGUGAUUGGGAUAGACCUUUGCAAUUAUGGGUCUUCAACGAGGAAUUCCUAGUAAACGCAAGUCAUCAGCUUGCAUUGAUUACGUCCCUGCCCUUUGUACACACCGCCCGUCGCACCUACCGAUUGAAUGGUCCGGUGAAAUCUCGGGACGGCGGCUUGGUCGCUUGCGUCCGACUGCUGAAACUUGAUUAAACCAUAUCAUUUAGAGGAAGGUGAAGACGUAACA